CUGGUCCAUAGAGGAAGUAAAAGUCGUAACAAGGUUUCCG
RNAcentral lists this ribosomal RNA (40 nucleotides) under uncultured Piloderma. Its description in RNAcentral is "partial 18S ribosomal RNA". Lineage: Eukaryota; Fungi; Basidiomycota; Agaricomycetes; Atheliales; Atheliaceae. The record is from RNAcentral.